This 474-nucleotide ribosomal RNA is filed under the name uncultured organism. Its description in RNAcentral is "partial 16S ribosomal RNA". It matches the Rfam family "Bacterial small subunit ribosomal RNA", at positions 335 to 800 of the family's 1533-position model. The record is from RNAcentral.
ACUCCUACGGGAGGCAGCAGUGGGGAAUUUUGGACAAUGGGCGAAAGCCUGAUCCAGCAAUGCCGCGUGAGUGAAGAAGGCCUUCGGGUUGUAAAGCUCUUUUGUCAGGGAAGAAACGGUGAGAGCUAAUAUCUUUUGCUAAUGACGGUACCUGAAGAAUAAGCACCGGCUAACUACGUGCCAGCAGCCGCGGUAAUACGUAGGGUGCAAGCGUUAAUCGGAAUUACUGGGCGUAAAGCGUGCGCAGGCGGUUUUGUAAGUCUGAUGUGAAAUCCCCGGGCUCAACCUGGGAAUUGCAUUGGAGACUGCAAGGCUAGAAUCUGGCAGAGGGGGGUAGAAUUCCACGUGUAGCAGUGAAAUGCGUAGAUAUGUGGAGGAACACCGAUGGCGAAGGCAGCCCCCUGGGUCAAGAUUGACGCUCAUGCACGAAAGCGUGGGGAGCAAACAGGAUUAGAAACCCGGGUAGUCCCAUGA